Molecule: ribosomal RNA, 539 nt
Filed under: uncultured Geobacteraceae bacterium
Lineage: Bacteria; Pseudomonadati; Thermodesulfobacteriota; Desulfuromonadia; Geobacterales; Geobacteraceae
Description: bacterial SSU rRNA
Rfam family: Bacterial small subunit ribosomal RNA
Source: RNAcentral
GAGUUUGAUCCUGGCUCAGAACGAACGCUGGCGGCGUGCCUAACACAUGCAAGUCGAACGGAUCUGAGGAGCUUGCUUCUCUAGUUAGUGGCGCACGGGUGAGUAACGCGUAGAUAAUCUGCCUGAUGAUCUGGGAUAACACUUCGAAAGGGGUGCUAAUACCGGAUAAGCCCACGGAGUCUUUGGACUUUGCGGGAAAAGGGGGGGACCUUCGGGCCUUCUGUCAUCARAUGAGUCUGCGUACCAUUAGCUAGUUGGUAGGGUAAAGGCCUACCAAGGCUACGAUGGUUAGCUGGUCUGAGAGGAUGAUCAGCCACACUGGAACUGAGACACGGUCCAGACUCCUACGGGAGGCAGCAGUGAGGAAUUUUGCGCAAUGGGGGCAACCCUGACGCAGCAACGCCGCGUGAGUGAAGAAGGCCUUUGGGUCGUAAAGCUCUGUCAGAGGGGAAGAAAUGGAACGUGCUAAUAUCACGUUUUCUUGACGGUACCCUCAAAGGAAGCACCGGCUAACUCCGUGCCAGCAGCCGCGGUAAUAC